AGGCUGUUAAUUUAAAAAAAAUCUUUGAUUUCGGCUCAAAAACUUGUGGUUAAAGUCCACAACUGCCUA
This 69-nucleotide transfer RNA is filed under the name Badis badis. Its description in RNAcentral is "tRNA-Arg". The record is from RNAcentral. Lineage: Eukaryota; Metazoa; Chordata; Actinopteri; Anabantiformes; Badidae.